Molecule: ribosomal RNA, 423 nt
Filed under: Pediococcus acidilactici
Lineage: Bacteria; Bacillati; Bacillota; Bacilli; Lactobacillales; Lactobacillaceae
Description: bacterial SSU rRNA
Rfam family: Bacterial small subunit ribosomal RNA
Source: RNAcentral
AGCGUUAUCCGGAUUUAUUGGGCGUAAAGCGAGCGCAGGCGGUCUUUUAAGUCUAAUGUGAAAGCUUCGGCUCAACCGAAGAAGUGCAUGGAAACUGGGAGACUUGAGUGCAGAAGAGGACAGUGGAACUCCAUGUGUAGCGGUGAAAUGCGAGAUAUAUGGAAGAACACCAGUGGCGAAGGCGGCUGUCUGGUCUGUAACUGACGCUGAGGCUCGAAAGCAUGGGUAGCGAACAGGAUUAGAUACCCUGGUAGUCCAUGCCGUAACGAUGAUUACUAAGUGUUGGAGGGUUUCCGCCCUUCAGUGCUGCGCUAACGCAUUAGUAAUCCGCCUGGGGGAGUACGACCGCAGGUUGAAACUCAAAAGAAUUGACGGGGGGCCCGCACAAGCGGUGGAGCAUGUGGUUUAAUUCGAAGCUACGCG